AUGGACUGGAUUUCUGAAGCUUCUGAGUUCCACUCCAUGAUUUUUGCGGUGGCUGUAUGGCAUAUAUGGGAGAACAGGAACUCGUGUCGCAAUGGUGAGACAAUCUCUCAUCCCCUUCAUAUUGUUGGAAGGAUCAAGGCUUAUAUUGAUUUUAUCUUGCUGAACAGCAACAUAUUAGCAGGUUCCAACAGGCGUGAGACAUUGACAUCAAUUCAGAAAUGGUCUCCGCCGCCGGAAGGCCUGCUCAUGAUCAAUGUGGAUGCUGCAAUCUUCUCAAAAUCUGGACGUGCUGGGUUCGGAGUGGUAAUGCGUGAUUAUAAGGGACUGGUGAGAGCUGCUUGUCGUGGCUUUCUUAAUCACGUAUACUGUCCUGAGGUUGCUGAAGCCUAUGCUAUACGCCAAGCACUCAUUCUUGCUGAAAACACAGGGGUCCAAAGGCUUCAGGUGGCUUCGGACUGUCUUUCGGUGAUUAAGAAACUCCAACAACAAAGCAUGGAUAGAUCCCUGAUUGGUGCUAUUGUUUUUGAUAUUAAGAGUAGAGCUACAAAAUUUGCAUCCUGUACUUUUAGACAUGUUGUUCGUACUUGUAAUGAGGCUGCUCAUGUUCUUGCCAAAUGA
This 618-nucleotide ribosomal RNA is filed under the name Triticum aestivum (bread wheat). Its description in RNAcentral is "partial small subunit ribosomal RNA". The record is from RNAcentral. Lineage: Eukaryota; Viridiplantae; Streptophyta; Magnoliopsida; Poales; Poaceae.